UCAGAAUCAUAAUUUAUCUGCUCAGUAACAUCACUCAGAAUCAGGACUACAACCCACAUCAUUUUCUCCCAUAUUUAUGGCUCAGUUUUUAGCUGUCCAGCAGAACAGAGAAUACAUUAGAUAAUAAGAAUACUAGCUUAAAAUAUAUCAGAUACAAGUCUUAAAAUAAGCAGAUAAUUGAUAACAACAUACCAUGAAAAAAGAAAGAAAAUAAUUAAUAUUUGAAGUUGAAACACUGAUCAGUACAAAGUGGCUCAACAAUUCCUGUGAAGCAUUUAUCCAAUUUAACGAAGGUCGAAAUAGACUACCCAUGAUAGAAACCAC
RNAcentral lists this long non-coding RNA (324 nucleotides) under Gossypium barbadense (sea-island cotton). Its description in RNAcentral is "long non-coding RNA (GBAR_LNC001676)". Lineage: Eukaryota; Viridiplantae; Streptophyta; Magnoliopsida; Malvales; Malvaceae. The record is from RNAcentral.